Long non-coding RNA from Heterocephalus glaber (naked mole-rat), 561 nucleotides. RefSeq lists it as uncharacterized. The record is from RefSeq and is a predicted model, not a curated record. NCBI's taxonomy places the organism in Eukaryota, Metazoa, Chordata, Mammalia, Rodentia, Bathyergidae.
AUUGCCUCCCAGUGUAAACCGGGCUUCUCUGUGAAGCUAUUUACAAAGUUUGGUCUCGUUUGAACUUUGAAGCAGAGUCUCUUAUCAGAUCCUACAAAUUGCAGACAUAACACAGGAAGAGCUGCUCUAGAAAGCUGAAAAUCCAAUUACAACAGCCAAGGGAAUGCAGUUCUUUGGGGGCUACAUUUGUGACCUCUGCCUUGAAGCACAGUCCCCGCGGGGAGAAGGGAGGCCCAGGCUCCACCUGGCCCUUGGACAGCACAUCUCGCCGCCUCUUUAUUACUCUUCCCUCUCCGAACUGUUGGGACCUUGGAUGUGAGUCCUGCUCUUGCUGGAUUUAUGGGCUGAACUCCUUGGCUAAGCUGCUUCUUCACUCACAAGGAAACUGCCGUGGAAGAUGUGGACGGGGAGCGUCUUGUAUGCAGGGUUUCCAGAAGCGGAAGGUCAACAGUAGCGAAAUGGAGAGAGGAUGUUACAAACAGUGGGGCUGAGAACAGGCCUCUCCUGCUCCCCAGGCGGCCUGGCCUCGGAGGCUCAGGGACAGGCGACGCCGCUGUGAUC